AAGAUCCCUCUGUGCGACAGGAGCCUGCACCUGCAGGAAAUCUCUUUCCAGCCCUCUCAAGGAUCUGACCAUCAUGUCAUGGGAGAACACCAUCUGUCCUUGGAUCGGCAGGUGAAAAGCGGAGAUCGCUGCAAGAUGCACUCUAAUGGAAGAGUGUGCUGGGCCCAGGCUCCUCAAAUGGAGCAGGUAGCCCAGGACAGCCUGUAUGGAGGAAUGGGGGAGAGACGCCCCGUUCAGAUGCCCAGCAGGUAAACCUUGUCCACUUGGCCAGGGCACUGCUGAUGAGUGGAAUCGGAGGGAACAUGUACAUCAGGCUCCCUGACCACAACAGGAGGAAGGCAUCGGAAAGGGAGUCCUUGCUCAGAUGCUGUUGAGAACAAAACCUAUGGCAUUUCCUGUUCUGUCUGGUGGUGAACUGGUCUAGUUGGGGAGUUCCCCACCUUUGGAAGAUCAUGCAGGCUACCUCUGGAUGGAGUGACCACUCCUUGUGAGAGGAGAAGUCCCUGCUGAGCUGGUCUGCCAGCAUAUUCCUGACACCGGGAAGGUGACAAGCUUCUAGGUGGAUUUCAUGGCUGAUGCAGAAAUCCCACAGGUGGAGCGCCUCCUGACAGAGAACCGAUGAGCAACACUUCUUCUUACCUGUUGAUGUAGAACAUCGAGGCUGUGUUGUCCGUCAGGACUUGUACCAACUUACCCGACAGGUGGGGCAAGAAGACUCCACAUGCCAGCUGGACUGCUCAGAGUUCUUUGACAUUUAUGUGUAACCAUGCCUCCUCCGGGGAGGUUGCUGAGAUGUGCCCCCCCCAGCCGAGGUCCAAGGCAUCUGACACCAACUCAAUGGAGUGAGGAGGGCUGUUGAACGGAACUCCCCAGGACUGUCCUGCAGUCAGUCCACCUUCUCAGCGAAGGGCUGCAUCCAGAGCCUGGCAUGGCAGAACAUGCAAGUGUACACUGCCAUGUGGCCCAACAGGCGCAGAUAGACCCUGGCUGUAGUCAGAGGGAACGCGGAGACUUCCGCGAUGAGUUUCGUCAACAUGUGGAACCUUUCCCGCUGCAGGAACACUCUGGCGCAGGUAGAGUCAAGGAUCACGCCGAUGAUCUCUAUCUUCUGCACUGGCACUAAUGUCGACCUUUUGUUGUUCACCAGUAGCCCCAGGGAGCGGCAUGUGGCUUAAAACACCACAACGUUCAUUCAGACUUGAGACCUGGAGCCACCCUUGACGAACCAGUCGUUGAGGUCCGGGUAGAUCUGGAUACCCCGACACGUGAGGGCCCCACCACCAAAGGGCAGGUCCUGCAAUGACUGCUGGGCCUCAGUGGACAACCCAUAGAGGAGCAACCAAGAGGCUUGCCGCAUAGAGACAGCAGACGCCAUGGUGUGGGAAGCAGCAUCAGCAGCAUCUGAUGCCACCUGGAGGGCCACCCGGGCCACAGUUGUGCCCUCAUCGAGGAUCACUCGGAAUUCCUUCUUGGAAGCCUCGGGGAGCAACCCUUCGAACGUGGCCAUGGCUUGCCACAUAUUAAAGUCAUA
Molecule: long non-coding RNA, 1531 nt
Organism: Mauremys mutica (yellowpond turtle)
Lineage: Eukaryota; Metazoa; Chordata; Testudines; Geoemydidae
Exons: 4
Source: RefSeq, a predicted model, not a curated record